RNAcentral lists this ribosomal RNA (165 nucleotides) under Trichocomaceae sp. RNAcentral describes it as "partial large subunit ribosomal RNA". It matches the Rfam family "Eukaryotic large subunit ribosomal RNA", at positions 99 to 261 of the family's 3401-position model. Lineage: Eukaryota; Fungi; Ascomycota; Eurotiomycetes; Eurotiales; Trichocomaceae. The record is from RNAcentral.
CGGUAACAGCUCAAAUUUGAAAUCUGGCUCUUUCAGGGUCCGAGUUGUAAUUUGUAGAAGAUGCUUCGGGUAUGGCCCCCAUCUAAGUGCCCUGGAACGGGCUGUCAUAGAGGGUGAGAAUCCCGUCUGGGAUGGGUGGCUAGGCCCGUGUGAAGCUCCUUCGAC